CGGCUGAGUGACUUGAUCUACUCUAAUCACAGCAGUAGACACAGAAUGUCAUGACAUUUCCUGGUGAUUGUAUACAAUUGAAGUAAUUUGGGCUUAUGUUUACCCAUACUGCGGUUUCCUGAUGACUCUAGCUCUCCCUGGCCGGUGUAGAGCCUGGAUCAUUUCUCAUCAGCAGGAGGGAGGGGAGGAUUGUCUGUCUGAGCCAUCUCCAUCUUUUGCUGCUACUUUGGCGGCUGGCUGGCUGGGAGUAGCCCCACUGCUGUGAACAUCAUUGAUUCAUUCACCUCAGCAUCAUCACACACAUACAGCCCACGCCUCUCCAACGAUACACAAUCUGGCAUGUGUGCCACCACAGCUAGUGACGUUCAGUCAGUCACAUUCCUAUAAAUGGGGGCUCAAGAGGUCAGGAGUGUGUCCCCAUUAGCACAGUUGGUCCAUGGGAGCUCCCAGGAGAUCUGGCAGACGGGCCACUAUGGACCCAUUUGCAGAGGCACACUCAGAAAAGCGGACAUAUCUACUGCUGUGGUGGUCAAGACACUCCGGGAUGGCUUAAAUCAGCCUGAGGCAAAAUAGUUUGUGGACGGGAUCCUUUUACAUGGGACAGUGUGUAAACACCACCACCUGGUCCGGAUGCUGUACUGCCAGACCCAGCGACUACCCAUCUACCUGGUUAUGUAGUCCUUGCAACCCCCUGCACUACUAUGGACCCUGAGGAAUGUAAAACAAUGGCCGGGACCUCAAGUUCAACUUUAUUAGCUGUAACAAAUACAUUGGAAAUCGUACACACCAGUGCUCUUACUAAUAAACCAUGUUGAAUAUGAAUAAUAUUGUAUUUCUAUUCCCAAUAUUAUGUAAAUUCAUUAAUCCAUUUUUCAGAUACAUUUAAUUGAAAGGUCCACAGAUAAAUAAUUGGUCAAUUAAAAUUUCAAUCAUCCACUGACUUAACUGAAUAAGAUUAAAUACAUUUCCCUUCUCUCCAGAGGGAUUCGGAGUCCUUGGAUCCACUCCAGCACUUUCCGGUGGCAAAGCAGAUGGCAGCAGGCCUGAUAAGUUGGAGGUGCCAAAAUGACAAGCUGGCCAAUCAGAGGACAGCUGAGGUCCCUCUCAAAUGGCAGGCUCCAGAGAGGAUGAUGAAGCAUCCAACCACAGACAGGAGUGAUGUAUGGUCUUUUGGAAUCUGUAUGAAUUGAUCACAUUGGAUCUCUCAGGUAUGACCUGAUGAAGUACUGCUGGAUGUGGAGCUUCAAGGACCGCCCUGUGUCCUCCGCCAUAAUCAAGCUUCUGGAGUCCUACACAUACCUGGAUGACACUACAGACAUCUACAUCCCAGAGGGCAGACAACUUGGACUACAGCAAGAGGGCAGGUGUGCUCCUCUAAAUGUCUAGCCUGAAGCAUCACAUUGAUGAAUGAAGAUGCUAAAAGCAAGCAGGGGUGGACUGGCCAUCUGGCAUUUCUGGCAAAUGCCAGAUGGGCCUGUCUAACUUAUUUUGUGUGCAAAAUGAUCAUUAUCUGGCUAAUAAUGGGGGCCUUAAACUACAAAUUUGCCAGUGAGGGGGGCCUCGAGAAAAACAAUGGCCUGGUGUGUUAAAUGCCAGGGCCGACUUCUGGUCCCAGAUUUCUGGUCCCCUGAAAGCAAGGAUUUAGUCCCAUACAAAGCAUGGCUGUAAUUGAUUCUAGGUUGAUGUGUACUGUACUGUGGUAUCAACAUUCAGAGAGAUUAUUUGAUUAAACCGAGAUUAAAUGUUGUAAAUGUGUUAACGUAAAUGUGUGAAAGUACAGUUGAAGUCGGAAAUUGACAUACCUUAGCCAAAUACAUUUAAACCGUUUUUCACAAUUCCUGA
This is a long non-coding RNA of Coregonus clupeaformis (lake whitefish), 1842 nucleotides long. RefSeq lists it as uncharacterized. The transcript is spliced from 5 exons. The record is from RefSeq and is a predicted model, not a curated record. NCBI's taxonomy places the organism in Eukaryota, Metazoa, Chordata, Actinopteri, Salmoniformes, Salmonidae.